UCAUAUAGGAAGUAACGUGACGCAAAACGGAUGAAAAAUGAGAGAGUUAUGUCCGUUUCGGUAAGGAUUAAUGGCUAGGAAAAGUGCAGAGUUGACACGGCCGGGUGGUGAACUGACACGGCCGGGUGAAGGCUUCGGUAUAUUAUCCGUGAACUACGACGGGCCUCCCAAACAUGAUUUCGAGUGUUUCCUUGACGAUUAUAAGUUGUAAACCCAAGUCUAAGCCUCAUGUAAUUUAUAUAAGAGUGUGAUAGAUGUAUGUAAUGAAGUUGGACAUGUAUUACAUGUAAAUGUAUACAAAAAUACGUACGGAACACGUAGGUAUGAAUACAUGAUUGUAGGUAUGAUUAAAUGUAUAUUAGGUAUGUAGAUGUGUAUGAUUGUAAGUUUGUAUGUGUGCAAGUAUGUGCGAAUGCAUGAUUUGGAUGCAUUUGAGAAUUAGCGUU
RNAcentral lists this long non-coding RNA (446 nucleotides) under Helianthus annuus (common sunflower). The record is from RNAcentral. Lineage: Eukaryota; Viridiplantae; Streptophyta; Magnoliopsida; Asterales; Asteraceae.